AGUGAACGCUGGCGGUAUGCCUAACACAUGCAAGUCGAACGGCAGCACAGUAAGAUCUUGCUCUGACUGGUGGCGAGUGGCGGACGUGUGAGGAGAACAUCGUGAUCCACUUUCUCGUGUGAGAUAACGUAGGGACACUUACUCUAAUACCGCAUACUACCCACGGUUGAAAUCGUUGGAUCUUCUUACCUUUUUGGAUUGAAUUAGCCGAUUUCGGGUUAGAUAGUUGGGUGGUUAAAGGCCCACCCAGGCGACGAUCCGCAGCUGGUCUGAGCGACUGAUCAGCCACACUGGAACUGAGACACGGACCAGACUCCUACGGGACGCAGCAGUGGGGAAUAUUAGACAAUGGGCGGGAGCAUGACCCAGCGAUCGAGAGUGUGAUAAGAAGGCGUUCGGGUUGUAAAGCCCUUUUGUUGGGAAAGAAAAGCAGCCGGUAAAUACCAAGCUGUAGUGACGGUACCUACAGAAGAAGCACCGGCUAACUUCGUG
This 492-nucleotide ribosomal RNA is filed under the name uncultured bacterium. RNAcentral describes it as "partial 16S ribosomal RNA". It matches the Rfam family "Bacterial small subunit ribosomal RNA", at positions 29 to 507 of the family's 1533-position model. The record is from RNAcentral.